GAGGGUGUGGCUCAGUGGUAGAGCAUGCAUAAGACCCUGGGUUCAAUCCCCUGCACCACCA
This 61-nucleotide transfer RNA is filed under the name Marmota marmota marmota (Alpine marmot). It matches the Rfam family "tRNA". Rfam says of the family: Transfer RNA (tRNA) molecules are approximately 80 nucleotides in length. Their secondary structure includes four short double-helical elements and three loops (D, anti-codon, and T loops). Lineage: Eukaryota; Metazoa; Chordata; Mammalia; Rodentia; Sciuridae. RNAcentral also lists the same sequence under 3 other names. The record is from Rfam by way of RNAcentral.